UACCAGACUCCUACGGGAGGCAGCAGUGAGGAAUAUUGGUCAAUGGGCGAGAGCCUGAACCAGCCAAGUCGCGUGAGGGAGGACGGCCCUACGGGUUGUAAACCUCUUUUGCCGGGGGGCAAACGGCGGCACGCGUGCCGUCCUGAGGGUACCCGGAGAAAAAGCAUCGGCUAACUCCGUGCCAGCAGCCGCGGUAAUACGGAGGAUGCGAGCGUUAUCCGGAUUUAUUGGGUUUAAAGGGUGCGUAGGCGGGAUGCCAAGUCCGCGGUCAAAUGCGGGGGCUCAACCUGCGUCCGCCGUUGAAACUGGCGUUCUUGAGUGGGCGAGAAGUACGCGGAAUGCGUGGUGUAGCGGUGAAAUGCAUAGAUAUCACGCAGAACGCCGAUUGCGAAGGCAGCUUACCGGCGCUCAACUGACGCUGAGGCUCGAAAGUGUGGGUAUCAAACAGGAUUAGAUACCCGGGUAAUU
RNAcentral lists this ribosomal RNA (468 nucleotides) under uncultured bacterium. RNAcentral describes it as "bacterial SSU rRNA". It matches the Rfam family "Bacterial small subunit ribosomal RNA", at positions 329 to 795 of the family's 1533-position model. The record is from RNAcentral.